UGCGAGUGAAGCGGCAAAAGCUCAAAUUUGAAAUCGGUGUCCAUAAAGUGCAUCGAGUUGUAAUUUGGAGGGACAACUUCGGGGCGAACCACACCGUAAGUUUUUUGGAACAGGACAUCAUAGAGGGUGAGAAUCCCGUGUCUUGGUGUAGGGUCAAAUGUGAAGUGUCUCCGACGAGUCGAGUUGUUUGGGAAUGCAGCUCAAAAUGGGUGGUAAAUUUCAUCUAAAGCUAAAUAUUGGCGAGAGACCGAUAGCGCACAAGUAGAGUGAUCGAAAGAUGAAAAGCACUUUGAAAAGAGAGUUAAAAAGUACGUGAAAUUGUUGAAAGGGAAGCGCUUGCGACCAGACUCGAUCUUUGGAGAUCAGCCGGGCUUCGGUCCGGUGCCCUCUCCAACGAUUGGGCCAGCAUCGGUUCUGACGGUGGGAUAAAAGGAGGAGGAAUGUGGCUCCCCUUGGGGAGUGUUAUAGCCACCUUCACAAUGCUACCAGUUGGGACCGAGGACCGCGCUUCGGCUAGGAUGCUGGUGUAAUGGUCUU
RNAcentral lists this ribosomal RNA (537 nucleotides) under Geopora cooperi. Its description in RNAcentral is "partial large subunit ribosomal RNA". It matches the Rfam family "Eukaryotic large subunit ribosomal RNA", at positions 88 to 641 of the family's 3401-position model. Lineage: Eukaryota; Fungi; Ascomycota; Pezizomycetes; Pezizales; Pyronemataceae. The record is from RNAcentral.